This 449-nucleotide ribosomal RNA is filed under the name uncultured bacterium. Its description in RNAcentral is "partial 16S ribosomal RNA". It matches the Rfam family "Bacterial small subunit ribosomal RNA", at positions 330 to 794 of the family's 1533-position model. The record is from RNAcentral.
CCCAGACUCCUACGGGAGGCAGCAGUGGGGGAUAUUGCACAAUGGGGGAAACCCUGAUGCAGCGACGCCGCGUGGGCGAGGAAGUAUUUCGGUAUGUAAAGCCCUAUCGGCAGGGAAGAAGAAAUGACGGUACCUGAAUAAGGAGCACCGGCUAAAUACGUGCCAGCAGCCGCGGUAAUACGUAUGGUGCAAGCGUUAUCCGGAUUUACUGGGCGUAAAGGGAGCGCAGGCGGCGCGCCAAGUCUGAUGUGAAACCCCGGGGCUCAACCCCGGGCAUGCAUUGGAAACUGGCGGGCUGGAGUGCCGGAGAGGUAAGCGGAAUUCCUAGUGUAGCGGUGAAAUGCGUAGAUAUUAGGAGGAACACCAGUGGCGAAGGCGGCUUACUGGACGGCAACUGACGCUGAGGCUCGAAAGCGUGGGGAGCAAACAGGAUUAGAUACCCGGGUAUA